AUGAACCUUCGGGGCAGGGUGCAAUUCCCUACCGGCGGUGACGGCGCGAAUGCGCGCCGAAGCCCGCGACUCCCGGAACUGCGAAUGCGGAUCCGGGACUGACUUGGUGAGAAUCCAAGGCCGACGGUGACAGUCCGGAUGAGAGAAGGUUUAA
RNAcentral lists this non-coding RNA (154 nucleotides) under Paenibacillus sp. RNAcentral's name for it is "FMN sequence". It matches the Rfam family "FMN riboswitch aptamer (RFN element)". Rfam says of the family: The RFN element is a highly conserved domain that is found frequently in the 5'-untranslated regions of prokaryotic mRNAs that encode for flavin mononucleotide (FMN) biosynthesis and transport proteins. This element is a metabolite-dependent riboswitch that directly binds FMN in the absence of proteins. In Bacillus subtilis, the riboswitch most likely controls gene expression by causing premature transcription termination within the 5' untranslated region of the ribDEAHT operon and precluding access to the ribosome-binding site of ypaA mRNA. Lineage: Bacteria; Bacillati; Bacillota; Bacilli; Caryophanales; Paenibacillaceae. RNAcentral also lists the same sequence under 2 other names. The record is from RNAcentral.